UAUCAGUUAAAUCAUCUGCUCCCUUGGUAUCUCUCAUAUGUUCUUGACUUUAUGGUUAGUGAAUUUGAUCUUUACUGGCAUUUUCAUGAAGGAAGCGGGUGAGAACUUGAAAGAACCCAAACCUAUUGUUUUUUAAGAUAAAAAUUUUUAAUCUAGAGAAGGAAUUAACUCCCUUGAAUUUGGUAUGUUUGUGUGUGUGUGUGUUUGUGUCUUAUUUUUUCCCUGUUGUUCUCACUUCUCUUUUUUAUUUUGCUUUAUUUGGAGAUUUUUCCAUUUGGACUUGAAGUAAACCCAACAAUGUACAGAAGGAUAAACGAUUUAAGGAUGUUGGGGAAAAGAUUGCAACCUCAUUGAACUCUACUGAUUGUUUUGUCCUGCAAUCCGGCUCUUCUGUUUUCUCUUGCCAUGGAAACCAAAGUACAUUCGAGCAGCAACAGUUUGCUGACAAAAGUUGCAGAGUUUCUAAGGUGGUCAGAUAAAGAUGCCUAUAACCAGACACUGUUGAAGUUGGGGG
Benincasa hispida (wax gourd) is the source of this 514-nucleotide long non-coding RNA. RefSeq lists it as uncharacterized. Lineage: Eukaryota; Viridiplantae; Streptophyta; Magnoliopsida; Cucurbitales; Cucurbitaceae. The record is from RefSeq and is a predicted model, not a curated record.